GACAGAGGGUGCAAACGUUGUUCGGAAUUACUGGGCAUAAAGCGCACGUAGGUGGUCCGCUAAGUCGCGUGUGAAAUCCCUCGGCUCAACCGAGGAAUUGCGGGCGAUACUGGCGGGCUAGAGAUCGGGAGGGGUGAGUGGAACUCCAGGUGGAGCGGUGAAAUGCGUAGAUAUCUGGAGGAACACCGAUGGCGAAGGCAGGUCUCUGGGCUGACACUGACGCUGAGGAGCGAAAGCAUGGGGAGCGAACAGG
RNAcentral lists this ribosomal RNA (253 nucleotides) under uncultured bacterium. Its description in RNAcentral is "partial 16S ribosomal RNA". It matches the Rfam family "Bacterial small subunit ribosomal RNA", at positions 524 to 776 of the family's 1533-position model. The record is from RNAcentral.